GUUGCUGUAGUUUCCAGAGACUUUAGGACGAAUAGUGGUGGUCCUAAAGUGAUAAAUUCGCAACUCUCAUAAUUUACGGACUCAGAUAGUCCGCUCUGGUAUAUUGGCUUAACUUAUUUUUAAAUUUCAGCAUUAGCAGAUCAUCGUGUGGGGUGAUCGUUAGGAUUGGGGGUUGUCAUUGCUUGGCAACCAUUGCUUGUGCUAGAAAAUUUAGGAAUUAUUUGCUCU
This 228-nucleotide long non-coding RNA is filed under the name Olea europaea (common olive). RNAcentral's name for it is "long non-coding RNA (OEUR_LNC007281)". Lineage: Eukaryota; Viridiplantae; Streptophyta; Magnoliopsida; Lamiales; Oleaceae. The record is from RNAcentral.